CCUACGGGUGGCUGCAGUGAGGAAUAUUGGUCAAUGGACGAGAGUCUGAACCAGCCAAGUAGCGUGAAGGAUGACUGCCCUAUGGGUUGUAAACUUCUUUUAUAUGGGAAUAAAACAGGGUAUGCAUACCCUCUUUUAUGUACCAUAUGAAUAAGGAUCGGCUAACUCCGUGCCAGCAGCCGCGGUAAUACGGAGGAUCCGAGCGUUAUCCGGAUUUAUUGGGUUUAAAGGGAGCGUAGGUGGAUUGUUAAGUCAGUUGUGAAAGUUUGCGGCUCAACCGUAAAAGUGCAGUUGAAACUGGCAGUCGUGAGUACAGUAGAGGUGGGCGGAAUUCGUGGUGUAGCGGUGAAAUGCUUAGAUAUCACGAAGAACUCCGAUUGCGAAGGCAGCUCACUGGACUGCAACUGACACUGAUGCUCGAAAGUGUGGGUAUCAAACAGGAUUAGAUACCCCAGUAGUC
RNAcentral lists this ribosomal RNA (460 nucleotides) under uncultured bacterium. RNAcentral describes it as "partial 16S ribosomal RNA". It matches the Rfam family "Bacterial small subunit ribosomal RNA", at positions 338 to 795 of the family's 1533-position model. The record is from RNAcentral.